Long non-coding RNA from Eriocheir sinensis (Chinese mitten crab), 712 nucleotides. RefSeq lists it as uncharacterized. Lineage: Eukaryota; Metazoa; Arthropoda; Malacostraca; Decapoda; Varunidae. The record is from RefSeq and is a predicted model, not a curated record. The transcript has 3 exons.
AGUUUGCUCUCCUAGGUGAAUUGCCUACCACGGCUAACGAAUCUCACCUGCCCGGCUUUGUAAUCGGAGUUUGCUCUCCUAGGUGAACUGCUUUCGCUAACGACCUCCACCUGCCCGGGUUUUAUAAUCGGAGUUUGCUCUCCUAGAUGAAUUGCUUUCGCUAACGACCUCCACCUGCCCGGGUUUGUAAUCGGAGUUUGCUCUCCUAGGUGAACUGCUCACGCUAACGACCUCCACCUGCCCGGUUUUGUAAUCGGAGUUUGCUCUCCUAGAUGAACUGCUUUCGCUAACGACCUCCACCUGCCCGGGUUUAUUGUUCGGAGUUUGCUCUCCUAGGUGUAUUACCUAUGACGGCUCACGAGCCCAACCUGCCCGGGUUUAUUGUUCGGAGUUUGCUCUCCUAGGUGAAUUGCCUACCACGGCUAACGAACCUCACCUGCCCGGGUUUAUUGUUCGGAGUUUGCUCUCCUAGGUGAAUUGCCUACCACGGCUAACGAGCCCCACCUGCCCGGCGUUGUAGCCGAAAGUUCUCCGGCACCUCCGUCGGGGUCCCGAUGGACGCCGAGGCGCCCUGCCGGGAGCCCUUCAGUCCUGCCACGCUCGCCUGGGAGACCUUGGGCUCGCUGGCGCUCCACCGCCCCGCCGAUUCGAAUAGGGCGGAUGCAAGAACUCGCUUCUUAAAACUACCAGACUGAAUUAUAAAUUUAAUCAU